This 772-nucleotide long non-coding RNA is filed under the name Coturnix japonica (Japanese quail). RNAcentral's name for it is "lncRNA (ENSCJPG00005015330.1)". Lineage: Eukaryota; Metazoa; Chordata; Aves; Galliformes; Phasianidae. The record is from RNAcentral.
GGCUUUUUAAGAGGACAAGACUUAUCCAGCAAUCUCUGACGGUGUGAGAUACAGUACAGCUGCUACCACAUUUGUCUGGAUCACAUACCUCCUUGGUAGCCAUCCCCCCAUCUGCAACAAACCUGAUAACCACACUGACCAGCAGAACCAUCAAGAGGUAUCUCUUCAGACUAUCCUGAAACCAGGAACUCAACAUAAUAAACAGGCUUCUGUGUUCAGAAGCCCUUUGUUACACAUCCAAGCCAAAGACCAGCGGCCAUGAGAACUUGUUGGCUCCCUCCCUGCAUGAUCUCAUUUCUGAGCCAGAAGGUACAGCUAAGCAACACCAGAUGAACAUUGGAGGCUAUCCAGGCAUACAUCAAGAUCUCGGUCACAUCAACCCACUGCCAGAUGUCCAGUACUGCACAGAAGGUGAGACCUCAGUGGGGGCCACCCAUACUUUCUCUGUAGGAAGAGGACACUCAGCUCCUUCAGGACUCAAACUCAUCUGCAAAAACAAUAAUGUUGCCAUCUGUGAAAAUGAGAAAACCUUUCCUGUGAUGGUCCCAACCCUGAAGAGUCUUCAAUGUCAUAUGUUAAAAGUUAUGGAGAGCAAACAGAUAGUACUUCCUGCCUUCAUUUGUUUAUUUAGGAUCAAAUCCAUCCCUAAGACAGUGAUUUCAUGCUUGGAAUGACCUACUUAUAGUUGAGUAAUCAUACAGAAGUAAAGGCAGAAAGGAAUCUGCUUUUUUAAUGUCAAAAUUUAAAAAAAAAAAAAAGUGAUAAAAACAAG